Molecule: ribosomal RNA, 1343 nt
Filed under: uncultured bacterium
Lineage: Bacteria
Description: 16S ribosomal RNA
Rfam family: Bacterial small subunit ribosomal RNA
Source: RNAcentral
GACGAACGCUGGCGGCGUGCUUAACACAUGCAAGUCGAACGGAAAGGCCCUGCUUUUGUGGGGUGCUCGAGUGGCGAACGGGUGAGUAACACGUGAGUAACCUGCCCUUGACUUUGGGAUAACUUCAGGAAACUGGGGCUAAUACCGGAUAGGAGCUCCUGCUGCAUGGUGGGGGUUGGAAAGUUUCGGCGGUUGGGGAUGGACUCGCGGCUUAUCAGCUUGUUGGUGGGGUAGUGGCUUACCAAGGCUUUGACGGGUAGCCGGCCUGAGAGGGUGACCGGCCACAUUGGGACUGAGAUACGGCCCAGACUCCUACGGGAGGCAGCAGUGGGGAAUAUUGCACAAUGGGCGGAAGCCUGAUGCAGCAACGCCGCGUGCGGGAUGACGGCCUUCGGGUUGUAAACCGCUUUCGCCUGUGACGAAGCGUGAGUGACGGUAAUGGGUAAAGAAGCACCGGCUAACUACGUGCCAGCAGCCGCGGUGAUACGUAGGGUGCGAGCGUUGUCCGGAUUUAUUAGGCGUAAAGGGCUCGUAGGUGGUUGAUCGCGUCGGAAGUGUAAUCUUGGGGCUUAACCCUGAGCGUGCUUUCGAUACGGGUUGACUUGAGGAAGGUAGGGGAGAAUGGAAUUCCUGGUGGAGCGGUGGAAUGCGCAGAUAUCAGGAGGAACACCAGUGGCGAAGGCGGUUCUCUGGGCCUUUCCUGACGCUGAGGAGCGAAAGCGUGGGGAGCGAACAGGCUUAGAUACCCUGGUAGUCCACGCUGUAAACGGUGGGUACUAGGUGUGGGGUCCAUUCCACGGGUUCCGUGCCGUAGCUAACGCUUUAAGUACCCCGCCUGGGGAGUACGGCCGCAAGGCUAAAACUCAAAGGAAUUGACGGGGCCCCGCACAAGCGGCGGAGCAUGCGGAUUAAUUCGAUGCAACGCGUAGAACCUUACCUGGGUUUGACAUGGAUCGGGAGCGCUCAGAGAUGGGUGUGCCUCUUUUGGGGUCGGUUCACAGGUGGUGCAUGGCUGUCGUCAGCUCGUGUCGUGAGAUGUUGGGUUAAGUCCCGCAACGAGCGCAACCCUUGUUCACUGUUGCCAGCACGUUAUGGUGGGGACUCAGUGGAGACCGCCGGGGUCAACUCGGAGGAAGGUGGGGAUGACGUCAAGUCAUCAUGCCCCUUAUGUCCAGGGCUUCACGCAUGCUACAAUGGCUGGUACAGAGAGUGGCGAGCCUGUGAGGGUGAGCGAAUCUCGGAAAGCCGGUCUCAGUUCGGAUUGGGGUCUGCAACUCGACCUCAUGAAGUCGGAGUCGCUAGUAAUCGCAGAUCAGCAACGCUGCGGUGAAUACGUUCCCGGG